AUUGAACGCUGGCGGCAGGCCUAACACAUGCAAGUCGAGCGGAUGAAGGGAGCUUGCUCCUGGAUUCAGCGGCGGACGGGUGAGUAAUGCCUAGGAAUCUGCCUGGUAGUGGGGGAUAACGUCCGGAAACGGGCGCUAAUACCGCAUACGUCCUGAGGGAGAAAGUGGGGGAUCUUCGGACCUCACGCUAUCAGAUGAGCCUAGGUCGGAUUAGCUAGUUGGUGGGGUAAAGGCCUACCAAGGCGACGAUCCGUAACUGGUCUGAGAGGAUGAUCAGUCACACUGGAAGUGAGACACGGUCCAGACUCCUACGGGAGGCAGCAGUGGGGAAUCUUGGACAAUGGGCGAAAGCCUGAUCCAGCCAUGCCGCGUGUGUGAAGAAGGUCUUCGGAUUGUAAAGCACUUUAAGUUGGGAGGAAGGGCAGUAAGUUAAUACCUUGCUGUUUUGACGUUACCAACAGAAUAAGCACCGGCUAACUUCGUG
RNAcentral lists this ribosomal RNA (484 nucleotides) under uncultured bacterium. Its description in RNAcentral is "partial 16S ribosomal RNA". It matches the Rfam family "Bacterial small subunit ribosomal RNA", at positions 30 to 507 of the family's 1533-position model. The record is from RNAcentral.